RNAcentral lists this ribosomal RNA (253 nucleotides) under uncultured bacterium. RNAcentral's name for it is "partial 16S ribosomal RNA". It matches the Rfam family "Bacterial small subunit ribosomal RNA", at positions 524 to 776 of the family's 1533-position model. The record is from RNAcentral.
UACGUAGGGGGCAAGCGUUAUCCGGAUUUACUGGGUGUAAAGGGAGCGUAGACGGUUAUGCAAGUCAGAAGUGAAAGGCGGGGACUCAACCCCCGGACUGCUCUGGAAACUGUACGGCUGGAGUGCAGGAGAGGUAAGUGGAAUUCCUAGUGUAGCGGUGAAAUGCGUAGAUAUUAGGAGGAACACCAGUGGCGAAGGCGGCUUACUGGACUGUAACUGACGUUGAGGCUCGAAAGCGUGGGGAGCAAACAGG